UGGGGAAUUUUGGACAAUGGGCGCAAGCCUGAUCCAGCCAUGCCGCGUGCAGGAUGAAGGCCUUCGGGUUGUAAACUGCUUUUGUACGGAACGAAAAGACUCUUUCUAAUAAAGAGGGUCCAUGACGGUACCGUAAGAAUAAGCACCGGCUAACUACGUG
Molecule: ribosomal RNA, 160 nt
Filed under: uncultured Acidovorax sp.
Lineage: Bacteria; Pseudomonadati; Pseudomonadota; Betaproteobacteria; Burkholderiales; Comamonadaceae
Description: partial 16S ribosomal RNA
Rfam family: Bacterial small subunit ribosomal RNA
Source: RNAcentral